Molecule: ribosomal RNA, 253 nt
Filed under: uncultured bacterium
Lineage: Bacteria
Description: partial 16S ribosomal RNA
Rfam family: Bacterial small subunit ribosomal RNA
Source: RNAcentral
GACAGAGGGUGCAAACGUUGCUCGGAAUCACUGGGCGUAAAGGGCGUGUAGGCGGGAAGGAAAGUCGGGCGUGAAAUCCCUGGGCUCAACCCAGGAACUGCACUCGAAACUUCUUUUCUUGAGUGCCGGAGGGGAUGGCGGAAUUCCUGGUGUAGAGGUGAAAUUCGUAGAUAUCAGGAGGAACACCUGUGGCGAAGGCGGCCAUCUGGACGGUAACUGACGCUGAGACGCGAAAGCGUGGGUAGCAAACAGG